AAAACGACUCUCGGCAACGGAUAUCUCGGCUCUCGCAUCGAUGAAGAACGCAGCGAAGUGCGAUACUUGGUGUGAAUUGCAGAAUCCCGCGAACCAUCGAGUCUUUGAACGCAAGUUGCGCCCGAAGCCUUUCGGCCGAGGGCACGUCUGCCUGGGUGUCACGC
RNAcentral lists this ribosomal RNA (164 nucleotides) under Jatropha curcas. RNAcentral describes it as "5.8S ribosomal RNA". It matches the Rfam family "5.8S ribosomal RNA". Rfam says of the family: 5.8S ribosomal RNA (5.8S rRNA) is a component of the large subunit of the eukaryotic ribosome. Lineage: Eukaryota; Viridiplantae; Streptophyta; Magnoliopsida; Malpighiales; Euphorbiaceae. The record is from RNAcentral.